GGGUUGUGAGGUUAAGCGACUAAGCGUACACGGUGGAUGCCCUGGCAGUCAGAGGCGAUGAAGGACGUGCUAAUCUGCGAUAAGCGUCGGUAAGGUGAUAUGAACCGUUAUAACCGGCGAUUUCCGAAUGGGGAAACCCAGUGUGUUUCGACACACUAUCAUUAACUGAAUCCAUAGGUUAAUGAGGCGAACCGGGGGAACUGAAACAUCUAAGUACCCCGAGGAAAAGAAAUCAACCGAGAUUCCCCCAGUAGCGGCGAGCGAACGGGGAGGAGCCCAGAGUCUGAAUCAGUGUGUGUGUUAGUGGAAGCGUCUGGAAAGGCGCGCGAUACAGGGUGACAGCCCCGUACACAAAAAUGCACAUAUUGUGAGCUCGAUGAGUAGGGCGGGACACGUGGUAUCCUGUCUGAAUAUGGGGGGACCAUCCUCCAAGGCUAAAUACUCCUGACUGACCGAUAGUGAACCAGUACCGUGAGGGAAAGGCGAAAAGAACCCCGGCGAGGGGAGUGAAAAAGAACCUGAAACCGUGUACGUACAAGCAGUGGGAGCACGCUUAGGCGUGUGACUGCGUACCUUUUGUAUAAUGGGUCAGCGACUUAUAUUCUGUAGCAAGGUUAACCGAAUAGGGGAGCCGAAGGGAAACCGAGUCUUAACUGGGCGUUAAGUUGCAGGGUAUAGACCCGAAACCCGGUGAUCUAGCCAUGGGCAGGUUGAAGGUUGGGUAACACUAACUGGAGGACCGAACCGACUAAUGUUGAAAAAUUAGCGGAUGACUUGUGGCUGGGGGUGAAAGGCCAAUCAAACCGGGAGAUAGCUGGUUCUCCCCGAAAGCUAUUUAGGUAGCGCCUCGUGAACUCAUCUCCGGGGGUAGAGCACUGUUUCGGCAAGGGGGUCAUCCCGACUUACCAACCCGAUGCAAACUGCGAAUACCGGAGAAUGUUAUCACGGGAGACACACGGCGGGUGCUAACGUCCGUCGUGAAGAGGGAAACAACCCAGACCGCCAGCUAAGGUCCCAAAGUCAUGGUUAAGUGGGAAACGAUGUGGGAAGGCCCAGACAGCCAGGAUGUUGGCUUAGAAGCAGCCAUCAUUUAAAGAAAGCGUAAUAGCUCACUGGUCGAGUCGGCCUGCGCGGAAGAUGUAACGGGGCUAAACCAUGCACCGAAGCUGCGGCAGCGACGCUUAUGCGUUGUUGGGUAGGGGAGCGUUCUGUAAGCCUGUGAAGGUGUGCUGUGAGGCAUGCUGGAGGUAUCAGAAGUGCGAAUGCUGACAUAAGUAACGAUAAAGCGGGUGAAAAGCCCGCUCGCCGGAAGACCAAGGGUUCCUGUCCAACGUUAAUCGGGGCAGGGUGAGUCGACCCCUAAGGCGAGGCCGAAAGGCGUAGUCGAUGGGAAACAGGUUAAUAUUCCUGUACUUGGUGUUACUGCGAAGGGGGGACGGAGAAGGCUAUGUUGGCCGGGCGACGGUUGUCCCGGUUUAAGCGUGUAGGCUGGUUUUCCAGGCAAAUCCGGAAAAUCAAGGCUGAGGCGUGAUGACGAGGCACUACGGUGCUGAAGCAACAAAUGCCCUGCUUCCAGGAAAAGCCUCUAAGCAUCAGGUAACAUCAAAUCGUACCCCAAACCGACACAGGUGGUCAGGUAGAGAAUACCAAGGCGCUUGAGAGAACUCGGGUGAAGGAACUAGGCAAAAUGGUGCCGUAACUUCGGGAGAAGGCACGCUGAUAUGUAGGUGAAGCGACUUGCUCGUGGAGCUGAAAUCAGUUGAAGAUACCAGCUGGCUGCAACUGUUUAUUAAAAACACAGCACUGUGCAAACACGAAAGUGGACGUAUACGGUGUGACGCCUGCCCGGUGCCGGAAGGUUAAUUGAUGGGGUCAGCGCAAGCGAAGCUCUUGAUCGAAGCCCCGGUAAACGGCGGCCGUAACUAUAACGGUCCUAAGGUAGCGAAAUUCCUUGUCGGGUAAGUUCCGACCUGCACGAAUGGCGUAAUGAUGGCCAGGCUGUCUCCACCCGAGACUCAGUGAAAUUGAACUCGCUGUGAAGAUGCAGUGUACCCGCGGCAAGACGGAAAGACCCCGUGAACCUUUACUAUAGCUUGACACUGAACAUUGAGCCUUGAUGUGUAGGAUAGGUGGGAGGCUUUGAAGUGUGGACGCCAGUCUGCAUGGAGCCGACCUUGAAAUACCACCCUUUAAUGUUUGAUGUUCUAACGUUGACCCGUAAUCCGGGUUGCGGACAGUGUCUGGUGGGUAGUUUGACUGGGGCGGUCUCCUCCUAAAGAGUAACGGAGGAGCACGAAGGUUGGCUAAUCCUGGUCGGACAUCAGGAGGUUAGUGCAAUGGCAUAAGCCAGCUUGACUGCGAGCGUGACGGCGCGAGCAGGUGCGAAAGCAGGUCAUAGUGAUCCGGUGGUUCUGAAUGGAAGGGCCAUCGCUCAACGGAUAAAAGGUACUCCGGGGAUAACAGGCUGAUACCGCCCAAGAGUUCAUAUCGACGGCGGUGUUUGGCACCUCGAUGUCGGCUCAUCACAUCCUGGGGCUGAAGUAGGUCCCAAGGGUAUGGCUGUUCGCCAUUUAAAGUGGUACGCGAGCUGGGUUUAGAACGUCGUGAGACAGUUCGGUCCCUAUCUGCCGUGGGCGCUGGAGAACUGAGGGGGGCUGCUCCUAGUACGAGAGGACCGGAGUGGACGCAUCACUGGUGUUCGGGUUGUCAUGCCAAUGGCACUGCCCGGUAGCUAAAUGCGGAAGAGAUAAGUGCUGAAAGCAUCUAAGCACGAAACUUGCCCCGAGAUGAGUUCUCCCUGACCCUUUAAGGGUCCUGAAGGAACGUUGAAGACGACGACGUUGAUAGGCCGGGUGUGUAAGCGCAGCGAUGCGUUGAGCUAACCGGUACUAAUGAACCGUGAGGCUUAACCUUACAACGCCGAAG
Molecule: ribosomal RNA, 2925 nt
Filed under: Escherichia coli
Lineage: Bacteria; Pseudomonadati; Pseudomonadota; Gammaproteobacteria; Enterobacterales; Enterobacteriaceae
Description: bacterial LSU rRNA
Rfam family: Bacterial large subunit ribosomal RNA
Source: RNAcentral